This 301-nucleotide ribosomal RNA is filed under the name uncultured bacterium. RNAcentral describes it as "partial 16S ribosomal RNA". It matches the Rfam family "Bacterial small subunit ribosomal RNA", at positions 509 to 808 of the family's 1533-position model. The record is from RNAcentral.
CAGUCGCCGCGGUAAUACAGAGGGUGCGAGCGUUAAUCGGAUUUACUGGGCGUAAAGCGUGCGUAGGCGGCUUUUUAAGUCGGAUGUGAAAUCCCUGAGCUUAACUUAGGAAUUGCAUUCGAUACUGGGAAGCUAGAGUAUGGGAGAGGAUGGUAGAAUUCCAGGUGUAGCGGUGAAAUGCGUAGAGAUCUGGAGGAAUACCGAUGGCGAAGGCAGCCAUCUGGCCUAAUACUGACGCUGAGGUACGAAAGCAUGGGGAGCAAACAGGAUUAGAUACCCGUGUAGUCCCUGUCUCUUAACC